This 301-nucleotide ribosomal RNA is filed under the name uncultured bacterium. RNAcentral's name for it is "partial 16S ribosomal RNA". It matches the Rfam family "Bacterial small subunit ribosomal RNA", at positions 509 to 807 of the family's 1533-position model. The record is from RNAcentral.
CAGCAGCCGCGGUAAUACAGAGGGUGCGAGCGUUAAUCGGAUUUACUGGGCGUAAAGCGUGCGUAGGCGGCUAAUUGAGUCGGAUGUGAAAUCCCCGAGCUUAACUUGGGAAUUGCAUUCGAUACUGGUUAGCUAGAGUGUGGGAGAGGAUGGUAGAAUUCCAGGUGUAGCGGUGAAAUGCGUAGAGAUCUGGAGGAAUACCGAUGGCGAAGGCAGCCAUUUGGCCUAACACUGACGCUGAGGUACGAAAGCAUGGGGAGCAAACAGGAUUAGAUACCCCGGUAGUCCCUGUCUCUUAUAC